RNAcentral lists this ribosomal RNA (253 nucleotides) under uncultured bacterium. RNAcentral describes it as "partial 16S ribosomal RNA". It matches the Rfam family "Bacterial small subunit ribosomal RNA", at positions 524 to 776 of the family's 1533-position model. The record is from RNAcentral.
UACGGAGGGUGCAAGCGUUAUCCGGAUUCACUGGGUUUAAAGGGUGCGUAGGAGGGCAGGUAAGUCAGUGGUGAAAUCUCCGAGCUUAACUUGGAACUGCCGUUGAUACUAUCUGUCUUGAAUAUUGUGGAGGUGAGCGGAAUAUGUCAUGUAGCGGUGAAAUGCUUAGAUAUGACAUAGAACACCAAUUGCGAAGGCAGCUCGCUACACAUAUAUUGACUCUGAGGCACGAAAAGCGUGGGGAUCAAACAGG